AACAAAUUAUUAGGACUUAACGGUUUUGUCACUGCUCAACCAAAAUCAGCCGCACCUAGAGAGAUUAAUCUACCAAUGGAUCAUUCAGUGUCGAAACUCGACGACAAAAUCAUCAUAAACUGCAUCUCUUGUGGACCGGAUAAAGAGUCAAAGAGCUUGAUCAUGUUAGAUGUUUCCUCACUAAAAGGGGGUGCACCUGAAAGGACAAGAGGGCUUGAUUUUCAUGUGAUAGGCUCUAUGGAUCAACUUAGCUAACAUUCUAUGAACUUUAGCCACGACUAACUUGGAUUUCUCCAUUCAUAAUUGUUACUUUUAGAAAACGCAACACUGCGAUAAGGCAUUAGAUUUAUGAGUUGAAACAUUUUUUUCCCUUCUCA
Long non-coding RNA from Vicia villosa (hairy vetch), 377 nucleotides. RefSeq lists it as uncharacterized. The transcript has 3 exons. NCBI's taxonomy places the organism in Eukaryota, Viridiplantae, Streptophyta, Magnoliopsida, Fabales, Fabaceae. The record is from RefSeq and is a predicted model, not a curated record.